Molecule: ribosomal RNA, 321 nt
Filed under: uncultured Pseudomonadota bacterium
Lineage: Bacteria; Pseudomonadati; Pseudomonadota
Description: bacterial SSU rRNA
Rfam family: Bacterial small subunit ribosomal RNA
Source: RNAcentral
AUUGAACGCUGGCGGCAUGCUUUACACAUGCAAGUCGAACGGCAGCACGGGGGCAACCCUGGUGGCGAGUGGCGAACGGGUGAGUAAUAUAUCGGAACAUAUCCGGAAGUGGGGGAUAACGUACCGAAAGGUACGCUAAUACCGCAUAUGCCCUGAGGGGGAAAGGAGGGGAUCGCAAGACCUUUCGCUUUCGGAGUGGCCGAUAUCGGAUUAGCUAGAUGGUGAGGUAAAGGCUCACCAUGGCGACGAUCCGUAGCUGGUCUGAGAGGACGACCAGCCACACUGGGACUGAGACACGGCCCAGACUCCUACGGGAGGCAG